This 148-nucleotide small nucleolar RNA is filed under the name Exophiala mesophila. Lineage: Eukaryota; Fungi; Ascomycota; Eurotiomycetes; Chaetothyriales; Herpotrichiellaceae. The record is from RNAcentral.
UGUCGGGUUGAUAACUAGGCGGAGGUUUCAAAAUUGCUCGACGACCCUUGCCCUUUAAGUACCCGAAAGAUUGAAACACUCAGCGGUUGAUCUUACACAUUGCUUUCGUUUCUUUAUGUCUGAUUAUGUUUAUUCGAUCGCGACAUGU